CCCGUGGCAGCAGUGGGGAAUAUUGGACAAUGGGCGAAAGCCUGAUCCAGCCAUGCCGCGUGUGUGAAGAAGGCCUUCGGGUUGUAAAGCACUUUCAGUGGGGAAGAAAGCCUUGGGGCUAAUACCCUCGAGGAAGGACAUCACCCACAGAAGAAGCACCGGCUAACUCCGUGCCAGCAGCCGCGGUAAUACGGAGGGUGCGAGCGUUAAUCGGAAUUACUGGGCGUAAAGCGCGCGUAGGCGGUCUGAUAAGCCGGUUGUGAAAGCCCCGGGCUCAACCUGGGAACGGCAUCCGGAACUGUCAGGCUAGAGUGCAGGAGAGGAAGGUAGAAUUCCCGGUGUAGCGGUGAAAUGCGUAGAGAUCGGGAGGAAUACCAGUGGCGAAGGCGGCCUUCUGGACUGACACUGACGCUGAGGUGCGAAAGCGUGGGUAGCAAACAGGAUUAGAUACCCCUGUAGUC
Molecule: ribosomal RNA, 461 nt
Filed under: Vreelandella stevensii
Lineage: Bacteria; Pseudomonadati; Pseudomonadota; Gammaproteobacteria; Oceanospirillales; Halomonadaceae
Description: partial 16S ribosomal RNA
Rfam family: Bacterial small subunit ribosomal RNA
Source: RNAcentral